AAGGUGUUCUCCUUGGUGAUCUCUCUGGAGUUUUUGGUGAGCCUUGGUCCUCAGAAGGAGCUCAGCAGACAGGUGAUUGAGAACCACCACACUGGGCUAUGGCUGCUCAGCCUCUACUGCCCGUACCUGUUUCAUAACUGAGCCUGAGUUUCUCCAUCACGCCUUUAAAGUUCCUCUGAAUGAAUUCCAUCUAGUAAGGCCUCUCUCUUAAGAUGAAUUGAAUACCAAAUUAGCAAUGAGCUGAAAUUCAGUAAUGGGCAACUGUGCUGUUCCAAGACAUGGAAAACAACUGAGAUAAGCCUUUGGAUCUCAGGUCUUGCAUCAAGUUAAUGUGGUCAUCAGCCAGGAAACAUCAAGUGAACCAGUACCACAAGGAGAUUGCCACAUCAGAUUAUGGGAGUUUGCUUCACUUCCAGGCAGCUCUAUUUAAUAUACAUCUGCUAUGUAAUACAUGCAAAAAACUAAAAUGAUUUUCAGUUGCGUUAGUCUUUAUUGGAUCUGACCUCUGGUCCAGGAGGUGAAGGGAGAGUGGAAAAUGAAAGCUGAUUUGGUAUUAGCCUACUAUUCGUAUUAGAAAAAGUAAAUGCUUCUGCGGUUUUCCUUACAGAGGUGUCUUUAUUCAUUUGACAUGCCUUUAAUAACUAAUUCUAGUUGUCUGGUUGCCAAGAUGGAUUUCCUACAUGCAGACUUAAAAGUGAUUUUGUCCUCUUUGAAUGUAUGGCUUCAAAUGAUCCCAGAACAGCAAACAUUAAACUUCCCCCUAGACCUUGAGCUUUUCUGAAGCGCUAUAAUAAUAUGAAAGGAUAAGAAUAUUAGAAAAAAUAAAUAAAUGAAUUAAGCACACAUCAUAUGAUAUAAGCAGGACAAUGAAACUCCUUGUUUUUCUCUGCUAGUUGAUAUCUCCUUUCUAACGUUGGACAUAUGCUGUGGAUUUCUCACUGUAGCCAUCUUAUGGAUUUUCAUAUUGUCAUUCAGAUACUCCUGUGGAUGAGAAUGUUUUGUAUGUUUCAUCUGAAAGCGAGAAGUCAGCAGACCUCCAAACUUCUUCACAAAUGUCUUUGUCCACAUGUUUUUCUCACACUAUCACAGUUUUAAU
Long non-coding RNA from Lagopus muta (rock ptarmigan), 1096 nucleotides. RefSeq lists it as uncharacterized. NCBI's taxonomy places the organism in Eukaryota, Metazoa, Chordata, Aves, Galliformes, Phasianidae. The record is from RefSeq and is a predicted model, not a curated record. The transcript has 4 exons.